This is a long non-coding RNA of Nilaparvata lugens (brown planthopper), 925 nucleotides long. RefSeq lists it as uncharacterized. The transcript is spliced from 2 exons. The record is from RefSeq and is a predicted model, not a curated record. Lineage: Eukaryota; Metazoa; Arthropoda; Insecta; Hemiptera; Delphacidae.
AUGAACAAGACUAACAAAUUAUCAAAAAAACACAGAUUUAUUGAUACUUAGAAAGACCGGUUUCGGUUAUUACACCAUUGUCGAUCUCUGAUAAACCCUGUUUAUCUCUGAUCUCUGUUUAUCAGAGAUUGACAAUGGUGUAAUAACCAAAACCGGUCUUUCUAAGUAUCAAUAAACCUGUGGUUUUUUGACAAUUUCUUAGUCUUUUUCAUUCAAUAAUUAUUAUCAUUUUGGCUAUUACCAUUUGCAGCAUUUAAUUUGGAUAUUCGUAAUAAUUAUGACAAUUAAUUGAACCUUAAUAAAAUACAAAGCUUUGUACUCUCAAUACAAAAGUUAGUAUUGAACGUUUGUUCAUUACACUAAAAUUAGCAAAAACCCCAGUCAAUAUUUUAGAGACUGUAGACCAGCUUUGAACAUUGAUACUUUCCAAGAAAACUGUUCUUAUGAAAUAGGGAUCUAUAAAAUAGAAUUAUAGUACCAUUUGAAAUAAAUAAAAUAAUAGAUUAAGAAUAAAAUCAACUAGUUUCAGUGUUUACACCAUCGUUAGGUUAUAAAAAUAAAUUUCAAAUAAUCGUUUAACGUUUAUAAUUGUUUCAACUAACGUUUAGAAAACGUUUAUUUGAAAUUUAUUUUUAUAUCCUGAAUAUGGUGUGAAUUACACUGAAACCAGUUGUUAUAAUUUUUAUUCUCAAUCUUAUUAUUUUAUUAAUUUCUAAGGGUACUAUAAUUCUAUUUCAUAAAUAAAAGAAAGUCGCCAUGAAUUCAUACAUUUUAAGAAAUAAUUUUGUCUUUUCUUAAAGAAAGAAAGACAAUUAUUUUCAAGUACGUUAUUUAUGCGUGCUCUAAAGUAGCCUACAUCAUAACAACAUUUUUCAUUAAUUACCAUACAAAUAUUGAUUAAUUAAUUAGAAACACUAAAAACUUG